GACUCCUACGGGAGCCGGACUUCGCACCUGACUUUAAUUGCAGGAUGACUCCGCCCAGACUCCUACGGGAGCCGGGCUCCGUCCCCCACUCCAACGGCUGCAGGCAGACUUCGCCCGGACUCCCAUGGGAGCCGGACUCCGCCCGCGACUUCAACCGCAAGUAGACUUCGCCCGGACUCCUACGGGAGCCGGGCUCCAUCCUCAACUUCAACUGCUGGAAGACUCCACCCGGACUCCUA
RNAcentral lists this long non-coding RNA (239 nucleotides) under Elaeis guineensis (African oil palm). RNAcentral's name for it is "long non-coding RNA (EGUI_LNC072801)". Lineage: Eukaryota; Viridiplantae; Streptophyta; Magnoliopsida; Arecales; Arecaceae. The record is from RNAcentral.